Molecule: ribosomal RNA, 925 nt
Filed under: Sarea resinae
Lineage: Eukaryota; Fungi; Ascomycota; Sareomycetes; Sareales; Zythiaceae
Description: partial large subunit ribosomal RNA
Rfam family: Eukaryotic large subunit ribosomal RNA
Source: RNAcentral
UUAAGCAUAUCAAUAAGCGGAGGAAAAGAAAACCAACAGGGAUUGCCUCAGUAACGGCGAGUGAAGCGGCAAUAGCUCAAAUUUGAAAUCUGGCUCUUUCAGGGUCCGAGUUGUAAUUUGUAGAGGAUGCUUCGGGUGUGGCUCCGGUCUAAGUUCCUUGGAACAGGACGUCAUAGAGGGUGAGAAUCCCGUAUGUGACUGGAAGCCUUCGUCCAUGUGAAGCUCCUUCGACGAGUCGAGUUGUUUGGGAAUGCAGCUCAAAAUGGGUGGUAAAUUUCAUCUAAAGCUAAAUACUGGCCAGAGACCGAUAGCGCACAAGUAGAGUGAUCGAAAGAUGAAAAGCACUUUGGAAAGAGAGUUAAAAAGUACGUGAAAUUGUUGAAAGGGAAGCGCUUGCAACCAGACUUGCUCGCGGUUGCUCAGCCGGUGUUCUCACCGGUGCACUCUUCCGCGAUCAGGCCAGCAUCGGUUUGGGCGGCUGGAUAAAGGCUCUGGGAAUGUGGCUCCUCUCGGGGAGUGUUAUAGCCCAGGGUGCAAUGCAGCCCGCCCGGAUCGAGGACCGCGCUUCGGCUAGGAUGCUGGCGUAAUGGUUGUAAGCGACCCGUCUUGAAACACGGACCAAGGAGUCUAACAUCUAUGCGAGUGUUUGGGUGUCAAACCCAUGCGCGUAAUGAAAGUGAACGGAGGUGAGAACCCUUAAGGGUGCAUCAUCGACCGAUCCUGAUGUCUUCGGAUGGAUUUGAGUAAGAGCAUAGCUGUUGGGACCCGAAAGAUGGUGAACUAUGCCUGAAUAGGGUGAAGCCAGAGGAAACUCUGGUGGAGGCUCGCAGCGGUUCUGACGUGCAAAUCGAUCGUCAAAUUUGGGUAUAGGGGCGAAAGACUAAUCGAACCAUCUAGUAGCUGGUUCCUGCCGAAGUUUCCCUCA